This 388-nucleotide long non-coding RNA is filed under the name Mytilus galloprovincialis (Mediterranean mussel). The record is from RNAcentral. Lineage: Eukaryota; Metazoa; Mollusca; Bivalvia; Mytilida; Mytilidae.
CGGUUGCUUUCAUUCGUUUGCUGUUGUUGAGUUUUUGGUUUUGCCAUUUGAAAAAGGAUUUUUGUUUAGUUUUACUUUCAGCUCGAUAUCGUUGUUGUUUUAUUUUUUUAUACCAAUUGUGCGGGGAGCGUAGAUUUUGUCAAUGCUUUAUCUAUGAUGAUAGUAUAUAUCUAGCUUAUUACUGACUUGUUGGUCAUCUUCUUAUUAUCUUAUAUCCUGUUUUAUAUACUGGCAGGGACUUGAAUAAACAUUUUUCAAUUAUCAUGUUUAUAACGAUUUCCAUUGAAAUGUCAAUUUUUAAAGUGAUUUGUUGGUUGCAAACAAUGCUUGUCAAUUCAGGAUAUAGAUAACGUAAGACGUACGUGUAAUUGAUUGUGUAAAUUAAGGC